This 301-nucleotide ribosomal RNA is filed under the name uncultured bacterium. Its description in RNAcentral is "partial 16S ribosomal RNA". It matches the Rfam family "Bacterial small subunit ribosomal RNA", at positions 509 to 807 of the family's 1533-position model. The record is from RNAcentral.
CAGUAGCCACGGUAAUACGUAGGUGGCAAGCGUUGUCCGGAUUUACUGGGCGUAAAGGGCGUGUAGGCGGCCUGGGGCGUCCCAUGUGAAAGGCCACGGCUCAACCGUGGAGGAGCGUGGGAUACGCUCAGGCUAGAGGGUGGGAGAGGGUGGUGGAAUUCCCGGAGUAGCGGUGAAAUGCGCAGAUACCGGGAGGAACGCCGAUGGCGAAGGCAGCCACCUGGUCCACUUCUGACGCUGAGGCGCGAAAGCGUGGGGAGCAAACGGGAUUAGAUACCCCCGUAGUCCCUGUCUCUUAUAC